CCUACGGGUGGCAGCAGUGGGGAAUAUUGCGCAAUGGGGGCAACCCUGACGCAGCAACGCCGCGUGAUUGAAGAAGGCUUUCGGGUUGUAAAGCUCUUUAAUCGGGGACGAAUUUUGACGGUACCCGAAAGAUAAGCUCCGGCUAACUACUUGCCAGCAGCCGCGGUAAAACGAAGGGCGCAAGCGUUAUACGGAUUUACUGGGGGUAAAGGGCGUGUAGGCGGGCAUGCAAGCCAGAAGGGAAAUCUGGGGGCUUAACCCCCAAACUGCUUUUGGAACUGCGUGUCUUGAGUGAUGGAGAGGCAGGUGGAAGUCCCAGUGUAGCGGUGAAAUGCGUAGAUAUUGGGAGGAACACCAGUGGCGAAGGCGGCCUGCUGGACAUUAACUGACGCUGAGGCGCGAAAGCGUGGGGAGCAAACAGGAUUAGAUACCCGUGUAGUC
Molecule: ribosomal RNA, 441 nt
Filed under: uncultured bacterium
Lineage: Bacteria
Description: partial 16S ribosomal RNA
Rfam family: Bacterial small subunit ribosomal RNA
Source: RNAcentral